This 472-nucleotide ribosomal RNA is filed under the name uncultured bacterium. Its description in RNAcentral is "bacterial SSU rRNA". It matches the Rfam family "Bacterial small subunit ribosomal RNA", at positions 328 to 793 of the family's 1533-position model. The record is from RNAcentral.
CUCUGUGACUCCUACGGGAGGCAGCAGUGGGGAAUAUUGCACAAUGGGCGCAAGCCUGAUGCAGCCAUGCCGCGUGUGUGAAGAAGGCCUUCGGGUUGUAAAGCACUUUCAGUCGUGAGGAAGGUAGUGUAGUUAAUAGCUGCAUUAUUUGACGUUAGCGACAGAAGAAGCACCGGCUAACUCCGUGCCAGCAGCCGCGGUAAUACGGAGGGUGCGAGCGUUAAUCGGAAUUACUGGGCGUAAAGCGCAUGCAGGUGGUUUGUUAAGUCAGAUGUGAAAGCCCGGGGCUCAACCUCGGAAUUGCAUUUGAAACUGGCAGACUAGAGUACUGUAGAGGGGGUAGAAUUUCAGGUGUAGCGGUGAAAUGCGUAGAGAUCUGAAGGAAUACCGGUGGCGAAGGCGGCCCCCUGGACAGAUACUGACACUCAGAUGCGAAAGCGUGGGGAGCAAACAGGAUUAGAUACCCUGGUAG